UUUUCAGCGUGUAUUUUAGUGUUUUUUUUCAAAACGAUAACACCUAUACAUGAUAUUUGAUAUUCAUUGUGAAGCCCUACAUUCUCUUCUUCAGUUCAAAGAUGUAUUACUUAUGUACAGUUUAUCUUCUUGUCUUUACAAGCCUAUAACAUAGACCCAAUAUGAAAUGCACAUCUGAUCUUGGCUAGGCCGAUAACUUUA
Molecule: long non-coding RNA, 201 nt
Filed under: Mytilus galloprovincialis (Mediterranean mussel)
Lineage: Eukaryota; Metazoa; Mollusca; Bivalvia; Mytilida; Mytilidae
Source: RNAcentral